GCAUCACUACACGUGGUGGAUGCAGCAUUAGUGGACUGCUCUGUGGCCCUGGCAAAACCCUUCGACAAGUUCCAGUUUGAGCGUCUUGGAUAUUUCUCCGUGGAUCCAGACAGCCAUCAGGGAAAGAGACGGGGUCUUACUCUUGCCCAGGGUGGUGUGAAGUGGUGCAAUCAUAGCUCACUGUGGCCUCAAACUACUGGGCUCAAGCUAUUCUCCUGCCUUAGCUGAGACUACAUGUGCACACUACCAUGCCUGGCUAAUUUUAAAACUUUUUGUAGAGGCAAGUUCUCACUAUGUUGCCCAGCUUGUCUUUAACCGAACUGUCACACUGAAGGAAGACCCAGGAAAGGUGUGAGCUGGAAGCACUGAACCUACCUCAUCCUCCUGGAGGGUGUGGCUACCCUCGCCACCCCAAAUUCCAUGUCAAUAAAGAACAGCUAAAUUCUCCUAG
This 451-nucleotide long non-coding RNA is filed under the name Homo sapiens (human). RNAcentral's name for it is "non-protein coding lnc-QRICH1-2:5". The record is from RNAcentral. Lineage: Eukaryota; Metazoa; Chordata; Mammalia; Primates; Hominidae.